This is a non-coding RNA of Tupaia belangeri chinensis (Chinese tree shrew), 1607 nucleotides long. NCBI's taxonomy places the organism in Eukaryota, Metazoa, Chordata, Mammalia, Scandentia, Tupaiidae. The record is from the annotation of a RefSeq genome assembly.
AUGGGACUCGAGCCCUCAGCCAUAUCUGGGGGACCUGAAGACCAGCUGUCGCCACCAAGAGUUGAUGUCCUGGUCGAGGUCAAAGGAUUUAAGUUCACGUGCAGCCCUAGGCUGAUCCCAGUCACCCUGCAAGCCCCAACACUGGGCCGACCGCAGGCUGGAGGGACGGCUUGGGACUGCGUCGAGCUGAGUUCAGAUACAGGGAACUUCCAGGGACCAGCAGAUGGCUCAGGCGGGGCAGGCCAAACCUCAGGUACCUGCCAGGACUACACUUCAGUCUCUAUCCAGGGCCCCUCCAUCUUCCCUCUGCCCUCCUGCUGCAAAGAUACCUCCACCUCCGUGACGCUGGGCUGCCUGAUCAAGGGCUACUUCCCGGAGCCCGUGGAGGUGACCUGGGACACAGGCUCCCUGAACGGCAGUGUGGUGACCUUCCCUGCUGUCACUCUGCCCUCUGGGCUCUACACCUCCGUCAGCCAGGUGACCGUGUCGGGCGAGUGGGCCAAGGAGAAAUUCACCUGCAGGGUGGCACACCCGCCCUCCUCCACUGUCAACAGCACCAAGGCCUUCGAAGCCUGCGCUGUGAACUUCGCCCUGCCCACCGUGAAGCUCUUCCACUCCUCCUGCGACCCCAGUGGAGACACCCACACCACCAUCCAGCUCCUGUGUCUCAUCUCUGGCUACACCCCAGGCGACCUUGAGGUCACCUGGCUGGUGAAUGGGCUCAAGGACACCAACAAGCUCACCUACGUGGCCCCGCCCAAGGAGGAGGGCAAGCUGGCCUCCACCCACAGCGAGCUGAACAUCACCCAGGGCCAGUGGGUGUCAGAAAGCACCUUCACCUGCCGGGUCGCCUACAGAGGCCUCACCCUGGAGAGCAGUGCCCGGAUGUGCACAGAGUCGGAGCCGCGGGGCGUGAGCGCCUACCUGAGCGCGCCCAGCCCCCUCGACCUGUACGUGAACAAGUCUCCCAAGAUCACGUGUCUAGUGGUAGACCUGGCCAGACCGGACGACCUGACUCUGGUCUGGAGCCGCGAUAGCGGGAAGCCUGUUAUCCAGGAGAAGCCAGAGCCCAAGAGCCAGUUCAAUAAAACGGUCACCAUCAUGUCCACCCUCCCAGUGGACCUCCAGGACUGGCUAGAGGGCGAGGUCUACCACUGCACCAUCUCCCACCCCGACCUGCCCAAGGACAUCGUGCGGACCAUCACCAAGGCCCCGGGCAAGCGCACCAAGCCCGAGGUCCACCUGUUCCCGCUGCCCCAGGAGACGCAGCCCAGCACGGACACGGUCACGCUCAUCUGCCUGAUGCAGAGGUUCUCCCCCGCCGACAUCUCCGUACAGUGGCUGCGCGGCAAGGUGCUGCUCCCAGACAGCCAGUACCGCACCACGCCACCCCUCCUGACCAACAGCUCCAGCUCCACCUUCUUCGCCCUCAGCCGCCUGGAGGUGUCCCGCUCCGACUGGGAGCAGAGUAAUUUCACCUGCCGUGUGGUCCACGAGGCGCUGUCCUCCCAUGUCCUUGAGGAAACCGUGUCCAAACCCCCUGGUAAAUGACGUGUGCCCACCCACUGCUGUAACCACGGGGAGCCCAAUAAACAUGCCGGUGCCUG